This 468-nucleotide ribosomal RNA is filed under the name uncultured bacterium. RNAcentral describes it as "partial 16S ribosomal RNA". It matches the Rfam family "Bacterial small subunit ribosomal RNA", at positions 28 to 507 of the family's 1533-position model. The record is from RNAcentral.
GACGAACGCUGGCGGCGUGCUUAACACAUGCAAGUCGAACGGAAAGGCCCUGCUUUUGUGGGGUGCUCGAGUGGCGAACGGGUGAGUAACACGUGAGUAACCUGCCCUUCACUUUGGGAUAACUUCAGGAAACUGGGGCUAAUACCGGAUAGGAUCUCCUGCUGCAUGGUGGGGGUUGGAAAGUUUCGGCGGUUGGGGAUGGACUCGCGGCUUAUCAGCUUGUUGGUGGGGUAGUGGCUUACCAAGGCUUUGACGGGUAGCCGGCCUGAGAGGGUGACCGGCCACAUUGGGACUGCGAUACGGCCCAGACUCCUACGGGAGGCAGCAGUGGCGAAUAUUGCACAGUGGGCGGAAGCCUGUUGCAGCAACGCCGCGUGUGGGAUGACGGCCUGCUGGUUGUAAACCGCUUUCGCCUGUGACGAAGCGUGAGUGACGGUAAUGAGUAAAGAAGCACCGGCUAACUACGUG